UCGCCCCCUCCCCCAUUCUGGCUGAUUCAGUGGGAUAGCCAGGAACAUCUGUGCUCUCCUGGCCCUUAGGCCUUCCCAGCAGUGUGGGACUGUAGCUCUGGAAAAACAUCUGGCUGCUAUUACAUCCUGCUCCCCCUGAUGUGGUGGUUUUGGUUUCCCAUAUCAUGGGCCUGCAGUGGUGUAUAACCUGCGUUGCUGUGAGAAAGGCCUUUCCGUGAAGCCAGUUUGCAGGGUGCAGAGGUCUCCCCUGAACUGUGUAGAGAGCAUGGAGAACACAAAUAGGUGCUUGAGCAGCCUGAAGAAAGAAAACAUCCCCCCUCUCCUGAGUAGCUAUCUGAAAUCAGAGCACAGAAAAGUCCAGAAGAACGUGAACGUAAAUCUGCAUUUGGGCACUGGAAGCCGAAUGGAAGCUACUCAUCGCUGGGCCAAUGCUGCUGCGUUCACUGUAACCCCUGGCUGGGAACUGGAGCAAGGCAGGAGUGCACCAGCUGUAAAAAGCAAAGGCCUCAAGAAGAGGGAUCCCAGCCUGAUACAGACUAAUCUCUCUUGCCCUUCUCAGCCUUUCAGGGCUGCUACCAACCAGCUCUUCACCUCCUGCUCCCAGCAGCAAAAUAACCUCUACUGCAGGCUCCAGCGGCGCAGCUCUGAAAAGGUGGCAUGUGGCAAUCCCCCGCUGCCUUCAUCAUCUUCACCCAACGUGGAUCUUCAGCAGAGACGGUCCUGUUCUGACACAGCUGGGGAGAAUGUGAGUGCCAACCUUGCAGAGAGGAGCCUGCAGUACAAGAAGAAACCAAAGGAGGGGUCUAGGUCUAGCCCCUGGGACCAGUCCUCUGUGCACUCCACCUGCCAUAACCUUCCAGAGGGAGGAAACCUCUGGAAGCAGCAACAUGGACCUUUCGCUGCUUAUGAUGCAGACCAUGGGAAUCCUUUACUAGCCAGUACAGAUUCCCUCUCUCCAGCUGUAGUGCCUGUAAUCUCCUGUGCUGGACUUGUCCCCCACCACAGACCAAUGGUAUGUCUCUCUCCAGGGAGCUCCAGAGGAAGUGUGAAGUCCUGUUGUCCAGGGCCUGCCCUCACCUUGGACGAACUGAGUCCCUCCAGCUUGGCCGAGUCCCUUCCCAGCUCUGCGGCCCUUCAGUCUCUCUUGCAGUCCUCAAAGACUUCUGCCAGCCUGCACUGCUCAAUGCAGAGGCUUAAGCAAGAAGCUGCUUUAAUGGGGAUAUGGAACUCCCUCCCUUUGGAGUCCAGGUCUUCUCCACUAGCUUGCAGGUGGUGCUUUGCCCCUGAGGUUUCUACACCUGCUGUCCUGAGUGUGGGAGAGCAGCUUGCUAGAGAACAGAGCAGUGCUAAGCAGGCUAGAAUGAAAUGGGAUCCCCCAUUUGUUAGGGAUUGGGGUCUUGGUUCAGUGACUGGUGAUGUGGGGGAUGCCGAACCUACCUCUCUCUGUCACAGGUGCAGAAAUACUGAAUUAUUUGUGCAAAGAACCAAAGUUUCAGGUGGAAUCUGGCCAGAAACCCUCUGUGCCAGUGCCAGCUCAGUCUACCUGGUUGAUACAGACGCAGGUAGUCCCUAUGACUGCUCUCCCUACCUCAGGUAUAAAUCUCAGGCACAGCACACUCCACAAGGGGACAGCACGUUCAGCCAUGUAAAAACUCAUUUCUCUGAAAAGCCACUUGGAGUGGAAGAGUCCUGUGCCAGAGCGUCACCCCGCGCCAUGCGUUGGAGGAAGGUCCUUCCAUCUGGCUCAGAUCCAGAUGGUUUGCAGAUGUCGCUGGAGGCCCAGAAGGAUGGGACUCCGAUGAAUGUCAGUGUAGCUGUGUUUGAGACUCCAAGGGAAGUGCAUCUGAGAGUCCAGUCUCCUUCUGGAGAUGCAGGGAUCGGUCAAGUCCAGCAGCUUUGUAUGGGCUCCAUAGACGUUGGCAUCUCUGAGCCUCCUGGCGAAGACCAGGGAGAGACAGCAGAGGCAUGUGACAUCGUAUUGUCUGCAGUCAGGAGAAUAGCCAUGAUGAAUAACAGGCAGUCUGUGCCUAAUCCCAGCUACAGCCCUUUUAGGGUAACAGCCAGGCAAGGUCCCAGUGAAUAUUCUUUGGUUGCCACUGGCGUGGAUGAUGUGAACUCUGCCAAUGAGGGAGGAAAUGAAGACCGCUCCCAGGAGGCCUUCUGUAGGGAUCAGGGACUCAACACUGACUGGGACCAAUCUGAGAAGCUUCUUGCAGAAAGGAGCAGCAGAGAAUUGAAGAACUGUGAGGAAAGCAGCCAGGUGCAGGACAGGAGACUAGCAUGGGUGAGGACCCUCUCAGUGCACAAUAUCCAAGUUCUCCUGUACCCUCUUGUGUUCAUCUCCACCUUUUGCCAGGAGCAGCUGGAGGUGAAAAAUGGAGGUGCUGAGGGAAAGGUGGUGUGGGGAUGAAUCUCAUGGCCCCGAAUGGUG
This 2431-nucleotide long non-coding RNA is filed under the name Gopherus agassizii (Agassiz's desert tortoise). RNAcentral describes it as "lncRNA (ENSGAGG00000025170.1)". Lineage: Eukaryota; Metazoa; Chordata; Testudines; Testudinidae. The record is from RNAcentral.